This 275-nucleotide ribosomal RNA is filed under the name uncultured bacterium. RNAcentral describes it as "partial 16S ribosomal RNA". It matches the Rfam family "Bacterial small subunit ribosomal RNA", at positions 338 to 627 of the family's 1533-position model. The record is from RNAcentral.
CCUACGGGUGGCUGCAGUGGGGAAUAUUGGGCAAUGGGCGGAAGCCUGACCCAGCGACGCCGCGUGGGGGAAGAAGUCUUUCGGGAUGUAAACCCUUGUUGUACGGGACGAAGGAAGUGACGGUACCGUACGAGGAAGCCCCGGCAAACUACGUGCCAGCAGCCGCGGUAAUACGUAGGGGGCGAGCGUUGUCCGGAAUCACUGGGCGUAAAGCGCACGUAGGCGGGCUGUCAAGUCGGCCGUGAAAGGCACGGGCUCAACCUGUGCAUGUCGGU